RNAcentral lists this long non-coding RNA (467 nucleotides) under Bos taurus (domestic cattle). RNAcentral describes it as "long non-coding RNA NONBTAT015834". The record is from RNAcentral. Lineage: Eukaryota; Metazoa; Chordata; Mammalia; Artiodactyla; Bovidae.
CUACUUUAAAAAAAAAAAAAAAGACUUCUAUUUCUCCUAAUUUCAAGCGCCUUGUAAACAUUCUUUUAAAGGCCUCCAUUAAAUGGACGUACCAGUUUCUUUAAUCAUCCUUUUAAUUCAGGAGACAAGCAUAGAUUGAUCUGUAAUGAGGAUCUUUUGCCAUCAAGUUUUCCCUCGUAUGUAGUGUGUCUGCUGUCGGCCAUGCAGAUGGUAGGUGGAAUCUGCUUCCUGCUAUGUGGGUGCCCCAUCCUGGCCACCACCAUUCCUGUGGACAUUGGGUGGAUUGUUCCUACAACUGGCCACCGUCCUCACCCCUGAAGGAGUCCGGGCUUCCGGGGACCUCCUGCCUGGAUGCUCCCAGAGAGCGGGAUUAUCUGGGCGGUUUGGAAAAGUCAGCCCGUGAGGCGUGAGGUGUGAGCGUGGAGGGGGAGGGGAGCACGUGUCUGUGUGUCCUGCAGGUGGCCUGU